UGGUAUGAGGGCAAUCGUGGUAUGAUAUCUGCCAUUCCAUUGACUGCCAAUUCUGUUUCAACUGAUCUGAUUGGCUAAACAGAGAUCCCUUCUCUCCCUCACACCUCCAUAUGUAUUCCUUCUGUAGCUGUAUGCUCAUUGGAAGAAUACAGCUAUGAUCUAUAGAAGGUGACCAUUCUUUGGUCAAGGGUACAUAAUAGUGGUACUUUCCUGCUAGAUCCUCCAACAACAUCUGAAGAACCACAUAAUCUUCCCUUUUCUGUGGGGCUAAAGGACAUUACGUGGUAGCCAACAGAUCAAGAGUUUGAGACAAUUAUAUUUAUUUUGUCUAUAUGU
This 336-nucleotide small nuclear RNA is filed under the name Anolis carolinensis (green anole). Its description in RNAcentral is "7SK RNA". It matches the Rfam family "7SK RNA". Rfam says of the family: 7SK was discovered as an abundant small nuclear RNA in the mid-70s but a possible function has only recently been suggested. Two independent studies have found that 7SK RNA binds the CDK9/cyclin T complex (known as elongation factor P-TEFb). The record is from Rfam by way of RNAcentral. Lineage: Eukaryota; Metazoa; Chordata; Lepidosauria; Squamata; Anolidae.